Molecule: long non-coding RNA, 514 nt
Organism: Vicia villosa (hairy vetch)
Lineage: Eukaryota; Viridiplantae; Streptophyta; Magnoliopsida; Fabales; Fabaceae
Exons: 2
Source: RefSeq, a predicted model, not a curated record
AGAGCCUUCCUAUUGCAACUGAAAGUACUUUGCCCUUCCACGUAUAGACUAUAAUAUCCUACGAUGAUUGCUCGCUCUCAGCCGUAUGAUGUCUGUCGUCCUCCUCCACGCCUCUUUGUUAUUUUUUAAGAUUCACGCAAAUCUGACCCCUUCUCUCAAUUGCAAUGAUAGGAAACGAUAAGAAGUUUGAUUUUCGUGAAAAGGAGGUUUGAUAUUCGAUUUAGGGUUUAUUAUUUAUCAUCAAUAAAAGUUAAUGAAUUUUAUAUUUAGGCAACUAAAGUUUGGGUUUGAUUUUGUAGUAGGGAUUUGUUGAAGGUUAGUGAGAAAAGUAUUAUGGCUCUCCUUUAAACAUGAGAAUUUUUGUGUUGAUGUUGAAGGUUAGUGAUUUGUGUUGUUUAUUGAAGUUUUUAAUGGUCACCUGUUCUUAAGAACAUAUCUAAUUGCUACUCAAAGCAGAGCAACCAAGAACAAAUCCCUUUUUGUUAUUUAAGUAUUCGAAAAUGGCUUCUUUCAA